AUGUUGUUUAUCAACCAAUGGAUGAUUGAGAAAAACAUUUAUAACUCAGAUUUAUUUGUUCUUCUGUUUUUCUCAGGUGUAAGUCGUCCUAAAGUGAUCGUCCUGCCGCCGUCCAGUGAAGAGAUUUCCAGCAAGAAGGCAGCAACAGUGAUGUGUGUGGCCAGCAAUGGUUUCCCUUCAGACUGGAGUCUGAGCUGGAAAGUGAAUGGGAAGAUGUCAGGAUCUCAGGAGAACAGAGCUGGAGUCCUACAGAAAGACGGCGGUCUGUACAGCUGGAGCAGCAGUCUGACUCUCACUGAACAAGAAUGGAUCAACAGAGACUCAGUGAUCUGUGAGAUCAGUCGGGAAGGUCAGACAGUCACUGGAGAAGUGAAGAAAGAUCUGUGUUCUGAGUAGAUCCUCUCUUCUUCUCAUCUCUUCUUCUCAUUCAUGUCU
Molecule: non-coding RNA, 435 nt
Organism: Misgurnus anguillicaudatus (oriental weatherfish)
Lineage: Eukaryota; Metazoa; Chordata; Actinopteri; Cypriniformes; Cobitidae
Source: the annotation of a RefSeq genome assembly